RNAcentral lists this non-coding RNA (19 nucleotides) under Mus musculus (house mouse). The record is from RNAcentral. Lineage: Eukaryota; Metazoa; Chordata; Mammalia; Rodentia; Muridae.
UAGUAGGAUGUAACUUGGA